CUGAGCUGUUCUGCUGGCAUCUUGCAGUUUUCUGGAUUUCUCCGCUUUUUCUCGCUCUAUGGCCUGCAGCAUGAUAGCAAACCUCACUGCAAAAUAUGCAUCAUUUUAUUAUACAAGGUGUGUAGAAGAUAAAAAACAAAUUUUGUCUCAUCAAUCAAAAACUUCUCAAGAAAGGAUAUAUGCACGUAUAGAGGCUUACACAUGACUAGAACUUCUCCCAAACAGGUUACAAGUAUUAAUUUUAUUAUUUCUGAUGAAAAGAACAGCUAUUUUGAAGAAAAAGAGACAUUAUGGUAGCUGCUGCUGAUUUCCUAUCAUCAUGCUGUGAAAUCAACUAACACUUUUAUUCUUUGUUUAGUGAUUUUAGUCUAUUUUUUAUUAUUUAAUUUCAACAUAUAUGAAGGUAUGGGCAGAGAUUUUGAAGAACAAGAGACAUUACAGUAGGCAUUGUUGAUUUUCCUAUUGUCUGGUUUUGAAGUGUCUGUAGUGCUUUUAUUUUUCUCUUUUGAUCAGUUUUAUACUAUUUUGUUUUGUAUGAAUUCAUUGUGUGUGAAGAUAUAGACAACUAUUUAGAAGAAAACGAGACAUUGUGAUAGCCUGUUGAUCUCCUGUUGUCUUGUUUUGAAAUCUGUGUCACUUACAUUGUUUUUUUCUGAUAUGCUUUGUUCUGUUUUGUUUUACCUUCUUUGAAAUAAUUCAAAAGAUAAAUAAAAACAAAAAUAGUUUAAUAUAUAUUCUAAUUUGUAUCAUUUAUAAUUAGUAUCCUUAUAUCAUUCAAAAGAAAGUUUUGUACUAAUAUCUGUUUCUUGUUUGUAAAAGAACAUCUUUCUUUGAAGAUAACGACACACAACUCUUUUUUUUUGGUACCAGGGAUCGAACUCACGACCUCAUACUUCCAAGGUAGGCCCUUACAUUGCUGAGUACACUGCUGAGCUAAGUCUCUGGCCCAACAAUAUACAACAUAUUAACUAUUGUUAUGUUUUUAACAUUUUGUUAUUAAAUUUUCUUUUACUUUCUCACAUAAAAUAAACAAUUUUCAUUUUGCCAGGCCCAGUACAUUUUAUAGCAAUCAAUCCUGAUAACUAGAUCUACCUCUGUGAAGUCACCUUGUUUAUAAAAACAUGUCUUCCUUUGAUAUUACUUUGCUCUGAUCACUUUCCUGAGGGAAACAGCACAGCUAUGUGUAUGUUUUUGUCUGUUUUUCUGUGUGUUUAUUAUACGUAUGUCUGUGUAUAUAUACAUAUGCACAUAAAAUAACUAUUCAGAUUUUAGUUUUAAAAUAACUCAUAUA
Molecule: long non-coding RNA, 1291 nt
Organism: Cavia porcellus (domestic guinea pig)
Lineage: Eukaryota; Metazoa; Chordata; Mammalia; Rodentia; Caviidae
Exons: 3
Source: RefSeq, a predicted model, not a curated record